This 457-nucleotide ribosomal RNA is filed under the name Aphodius variabilis. RNAcentral describes it as "partial 16S ribosomal RNA". Lineage: Eukaryota; Metazoa; Arthropoda; Insecta; Coleoptera; Scarabaeidae. The record is from RNAcentral.
GUCUUUUUGAUUAUAAUUUAAAGUCUAACCUGCCCAAUGAAUUAUUUAAUGGCCGCAGUAUUUUAACUGUGCGAAGGUAGCAUAAUAAUUAGUUUUUUAAUUGAGAACUGGUAUGAAUGGUUGGACGAGGGAAUAGCUGUCUCAAUUUAAUUUUAAUUAGAAUUUUAUUUUUAAGUUAAAAAGCUUAAAUUUUUUUAAAAGACGAGAAGACCCUAUAGAGUUUUAUAUUAUAAUUAUAUUUAAUUUAUUAAGUAUUUGUAUUAUUUUAUUUAUUAAUAGUAUUUUAUUGGGGCGAUAUAAAAAUUUAAUUAACUUUUUAUUUUUUAUUUCAUUAAUUUAUGUUUAAAUGAUCCAUUUUUUAUGAUUAAAAGAUUAAAUUACCUUAGGGAUAACAGCGUAAUUUUUUUUUAGAGUUCUUAUCGAAAAAAAAGUUUGCGACCUCGAUGUUGGAUUAAAA